RNAcentral lists this transfer RNA (63 nucleotides) under human gut metagenome. It matches the Rfam family "tRNA", at positions 6 to 65 of the family's 71-position model. From Rfam's summary of the family: Transfer RNA (tRNA) molecules are approximately 80 nucleotides in length. Their secondary structure includes four short double-helical elements and three loops (D, anti-codon, and T loops). Further hydrogen bonds mediate the characteristic L-shaped molecular structure. tRNAs have two regions of fundamental functional importance: the anti-codon, which is responsible for specific mRNA codon recognition, and the 3' end, to which the tRNAs corresponding amino acid is attached (by aminoacyl-tRNA synthetases). tRNAs cope with the degeneracy of the genetic code in two manners: having more than one tRNA (with a specific anti-codon) for a particular amino acid; and 'wobble' base-pairing, i.e. permitting non-standard base-pairing at the 3rd anti-codon position. RNAcentral also lists the same sequence under 2 other names. The record is from RNAcentral.
AUUAGCUCAGUUGGUAGAGCAACUGACUCUUAAUCAGUGGGUCCCGGGUUCGAGUCCCUGAUG